GAGCACUUAUAAUUCUCAUAUUUCUUUUGUUGUACACCCUUCUUGCACCAAUCAAUAAGUAAUUGAAGUAUAGAAUUUGGAAAUAGUGAAAUAUUUGUCUCACACAAAAUGCAUAUUAUUGUAACUGAUGGCUUCUCCGGUUCUCCGCGUUUCUAUAUUUUUUUUGUGUUAAUCCUUCGGUUCUUAGUGGAAAGGGCUCUAGUAUUUUAUAGUUCAUGUAAAUAAAAUAUGUCUAAGGUCGAGGGAGUAGUUGAUACUUGAUAGUAGAGUACUAGAUAAGUCGGUUGAUUAAUUUGAAAUGUUUGAUUAAUUUAAUGUUUGUACUAAUUGAUAAAUAUAAUAUGACAAAAAAAUAUUGUAAUUUUUUCAAUUAAAAUAGUGAAUGUAAAAUUGAUACAAAUAAAAGGAUACUCUCUUUU
Molecule: long non-coding RNA, 419 nt
Filed under: Trifolium pratense (red clover)
Lineage: Eukaryota; Viridiplantae; Streptophyta; Magnoliopsida; Fabales; Fabaceae
Description: long non-coding RNA (TPRA_LNC004206)
Source: RNAcentral